RNAcentral lists this ribosomal RNA (192 nucleotides) under Triticum aestivum (bread wheat). RNAcentral's name for it is "partial small subunit ribosomal RNA". Lineage: Eukaryota; Viridiplantae; Streptophyta; Magnoliopsida; Poales; Poaceae. The record is from RNAcentral.
AUGCGAACUAACAUGUUUUCACUUUCCCGACGUGGGCGCAGAGGUGAUCGACGCAGACUACCGCGACCCGGUGGGCGUCGUGCUCUUCAACAACUCGGAGGCGGACUUUGCUGUGAAGCCCGGCGACUGCGUCACACAGAUGAUUGUCCAGGUGAUUGCGAUGCCGGAGGUCGCCGAGGUGGAGGACCUUGA